AGUGAACGCUGGCGGUAGGCCUAACACAUGCAAGUCGAACGGCAGCACAGUAAGAGCUUGCUCUUACGGGUGGCGAGUGGCGGACGGGUGAGGAAUACAUCGGAAUCUACUUUUUCGUGGGGGAUAACGUAGGGAAACUUACGCUAAUACCGCAUACGACCUACGGGUGAAAGCAGGGGAUCUUCGGACCUUGCGCGAUUGAAUGAGCCGAUGUCGGAUUAGCUAGUUGGCGGGGUAAAGGCCCACCAAGGCGACGAUCCGUAGCUGGUCUGAGAGGGUGAAUCGCCACCAUGGAACUGAGACACGGUCCCGACCCCUACGGGAGGCAGCAGUGGGGAAUAUUGGACAAAGGGCGCAAGCCUGAUCCAGCCAUACCGCGUGGGUGAAGAAGGCCUUCGGGUUGUAAAGCCCUUUUGUUGGGAAAGAAAAGCAGCAGGUUAAUACCCCGCUGUUCUGACGGUACCCAAAGAAUAAGCACCGGCUAACUUCGUG
This 492-nucleotide ribosomal RNA is filed under the name uncultured bacterium. RNAcentral describes it as "partial 16S ribosomal RNA". It matches the Rfam family "Bacterial small subunit ribosomal RNA", at positions 29 to 507 of the family's 1533-position model. The record is from RNAcentral.